GACGAACGCUGGCGGCGUGCUUAACACAUGCAAGUCGAACGGAAAGGCCUGCUUUCCCUUGUGGAUUGCGGGUGCUCGAGUGGCGAACGGGUGAGUAACACGUGAGUGAUCUGCCCCCAACUUGGGUAUAAGCCUGGGAAACUGGGUCUAAUUCCCGAUAGGACUGCAGGGUGGUGCCUGUGGUGGAAAACGAUUUUCUAGUGGUUGGGGAUGAGCUCGCGGCCUAACAGCUUGUUGGUGGGGUAAUGGCCUACCAAGGCGGCGACGGGUAGCCGGCCUGAGAGGGUGGACGGCCACAUUGGGACUGAGAUACGGCCCAGACUCCUACGGGAGGCAGCAGUGGGGAAUAUUGCACAAUGGGCGGAAGCCUGAUGCAGCGACGCCGCGUGGGGGAUGACGGCCUUCGGGUUGUAAACUCCUUUCGACCGCGAGGAAGCCACCUGGUUGGAAGGGUGGUGACGGUAGUGGUAGAAGAAGCACCGGCUAACUACGUG
Molecule: ribosomal RNA, 494 nt
Filed under: uncultured bacterium
Lineage: Bacteria
Description: partial 16S ribosomal RNA
Rfam family: Bacterial small subunit ribosomal RNA
Source: RNAcentral